UGGGGAAUCUUGGACAAUGGGCGCAAGCCUGAUCCAGCCAUGCCGCGUGGAUGAUGAAGGCCCUAGGGUUGUAAAAUCCUUUCGUCGGGGACGAUAAUGACGGUACCCGAAGAAGAAGCUCCGGCUAACUUCGUGCCAGCAGCCGCGGUAAUACGAAGGGGGCUAGCGUUGUUCGGAUUUACUGGGCGUAAAGCGCGUGUAGGCGGGCCGGUAAGUUGGGGGUGAAGUCCCGAGGCUCAACCUCGGAACUGCCUCCAAAACUGGCGGCCUGGAGCAAGAUAGAGGCGAGUGGAAUUGCGAGUGUAGAGGUGAAAUUCGUAGAUAUUCGCAGGAACACCAGUGGCGAAGGCGACUCGCUGGAUCUUUGCUGACGCUGAGACGCGAAAGCGUGGGGAGCAAACAGGAUUAGAUACCCUGGUAGUCCACGCUGUAAACGAUGAGAGCUAGUUGUCGGCACGCAUGCGUGUCGGUGACGCAGCUAACGCUAA
RNAcentral lists this ribosomal RNA (488 nucleotides) under uncultured Pseudomonadota bacterium. RNAcentral's name for it is "bacterial SSU rRNA". It matches the Rfam family "Bacterial small subunit ribosomal RNA", at positions 355 to 861 of the family's 1533-position model. The record is from RNAcentral. Lineage: Bacteria; Pseudomonadati; Pseudomonadota.